GUCCGUCGUCUAUUCGAAGGUGCUUUUUCGGCUUACAUUCUCAUUCUACGUUAGCGGUUGUCGUCGUCGUCGCUGACUGUGUACGCGCCCGAUGACUCUCCACCUUUCGACUUGUCUCUCUCGCUUGUGCUACCGCUGCCGCCCCGCACGCACACACACGCACACACGCAUACAGUAAGUGAGAACGGCCGGCAGGCAUAACGUCACUCUACCCAAGAGAGAGGCCGCGGCGGUGGUGAUACCACGCCACGCGACGGCAAAUAAGUAGCGGCACAUCAGCCUGUUGCCGAGCACGGUGAAGCGUGACAAACGGUUGUACGUAGCGCACUGUACACAUACAAAGAGGCGCAAGUAGAACGAUGGAGCUUCGAGAGCGUGUCGGGAAGCUGUCGCGGGCGCAGGCGCCGACGGCCGUGCCACCCACGUCGAACCCGAUGACGCAGCGUCUCGUCUCUCUGGAGCAUGACGAGAUGUCUCACCUCUGGUUCAGAGGGGUGAUGGCCUUCCUCGCAUUUCUGUGCUUCAUGCUCUCCAUCUUGCAGGUGAGCGGGUACGCUGGUAACGUUGUGGUGCACGUCCUCAUUUUGGCCCUCUCCUUGGCGGGAGAGAUGUGCAUCGUCGUUGUCUACCGCAUCAAGGCGCGCUUUGCGGGUGUGACGAACCCCGCCAGUCACGCCGUGAACUCGCUGCACUCCCCACACCUGUCGCUGAUGCUGUGCGAGAUGCUGGUUUGGAUCAUUAUGGCCCCGCCCGGCGUCAAGGGCACUUCCAGCUGGGCGCGGGUGCUGGACAGCUUUAUUGUGCUGCGCUCGUACGUCUACGUGAUGUACGUCACACGCCUCUCCACCCAGAGCGUCUUCAAGCGCGCCGUGGCGUCGCUGUGUGGGUAUCGCUUCAACUCCCUCUACAUGUUCCGUCACACCUUUAUAUCUCGGCACGCCAUCGCGACGGCGUGCGGCUUUAUCGUGGCGUGGCUCGGGAUGGCUCUGCUGUACAGCAAGGGUGAGGAGGUCAGCUACGCGGACGCCGUGUACUUCUGCUCCUCCACCAUGGGUUUCGUCGGGUACAGCGACGUCGUCCCAUCGACGUGGGUAGGGCGGUUCACUGCCUUUCUCGCCUGCUGCCUGGGGCUGCUCGUCAUCGCCUGGUGCGUCAGCCUGAUGCACGCGCUAACCCGCGUCACUCCGGCAGAGCGCAACUUGCACACGCUCUUUCGUACCAACAAGCUGUGUGCGCAAGUUCCUGGUGAGGCGGCUCGCACCAUCCAGCGCGCGUGGAAGCUCUACCUGGCAAAGCUGGAGAAGCGCAACCCGCUCUCCAUUCAGUUCAACGCGCUGCUGCUGAGCAGCCAGGCCUGCAGUUUUCGCUCCCUCCGCCGCGAGUUUGUCGAGUCCGAGAUGGCAUUCAUCCGCUCCACCUACACCUUUGAUGACGCCCUCACCGCGCUGAGCCGCCAGUCAUCUCUUCGCACAACCCCGGCCGGGUCCCCGCGUUCGCCGAUGAGCACGGCCCUCAGCGCCAGCAGCGGAACUCCCAAGAGCACCACUGGCCGGCGCUCCUUUUCUCUCUUCAAGGAGGUGAAGUUGAAGUCGCCGCAGAUUUCGCCGUUGCCCCCUGGCGCGAAUGUGGAGACAGGUUGCUCGGACGGUGGUGCACCGCCGCCGGCAUCGUCGUCGACGUCACUACCAGUGUUGGAGCUGCGCGGGCUUAUCAAUCAGCGGCAGCUCACGCACAGUGGCACCGGUGCGUCCGCGAUGGCCAGCGACAUCACCAGGAGGCUGGCCCACCUCGAUGAAACCCUCAGCAUAUUAAUUCGCAAGGCGGAGCGCAUGGCGCCAAGAAUGCUUGCCUCCUCCACUGAGGUGGCGUCGUAGGCCGCUAGGUGAAACGCAAAGAAUCUUUAGCGUUGUAUGCUAGUAUUUUUUUUUUUGGAUUUUGUGGGUAUGAUAUCUUGCGCCGUAUCGCUCCGUCUUGCGAGCCGGCAUGCGAAGAGAUGCGUGCGUGCGAUGUUACGUUCUUCCUGCGUGUAUGUGUGUGUGUGUGUAUGCUGCUGCUGCCACGUGCCGCCUGCCGAUCAUUUUUGCGCACCUCGAACUUACCUCUUCACGCACGCGUGUACGCGUUUUGCUUUCCCUUCCUUCUUCAUGAAUCCAAAGACCUUGUGCGUGCGUGUGCACGCGCUUCGACUAGCCGGCAUCACGUCCAACGACGACAUG
This 2216-nucleotide unclassified non-coding RNA is filed under the name Leishmania donovani. Its description in RNAcentral is "gene:LdHU3.14.0740(CDS-product:Ion_channel_putati ve)". The record is from RNAcentral. Lineage: Eukaryota; Euglenozoa; Kinetoplastea; Trypanosomatida; Trypanosomatidae.